GCGCAAUCUUGUUCCAUAGAGGGCCAGUAAAAACCGGCUCUUAGAACCUUGGCCUUUAACAUCCUUUUUCCUGAAUGUGAACCGCAAACUCCAUGAUGUAACUCUUGCAUAACGUACUUUGCUUCUUCGUCGGAUAAACACUUUAGCAAUGGGGUAGUGUAACCGCGCCGGUACAAGUCGUCACCCACAAACAUGUAACGGGCGA
RNAcentral lists this long non-coding RNA (205 nucleotides) under Vigna radiata. Its description in RNAcentral is "long non-coding RNA (VRAD_LNC011246)". Lineage: Eukaryota; Viridiplantae; Streptophyta; Magnoliopsida; Fabales; Fabaceae. The record is from RNAcentral.